This 1153-nucleotide long non-coding RNA is filed under the name Salmo salar (Atlantic salmon). RNAcentral describes it as "lncRNA (ENSSSAG00000090018.1)". The record is from RNAcentral. Lineage: Eukaryota; Metazoa; Chordata; Actinopteri; Salmoniformes; Salmonidae.
CUCCUCGUCUGCCCACGUGUUCUUGCAUACCCCGAGAGCAUCUGGCCAGCGGGGUGAUGGCACUGGAAUCCUCAUCUCUCCCAAGUGGACAUUCUCUCUUUCUCCCCUGACCCAUCUGUCUAUCGCCUCCUUUGAAUUCCAUGCUGUCACAGUUACCAGCCCUUUCAAGCUUAACAUCCUUAUCAUUUAUCGCCCUCCAGGUUCCCUUGGAGAGUUCAUCAAUGAGCUUGAUAAGUUCCUUUCCUGAGGAUGGCUCACCUCUCACAGUUCUGGACCAUUUCCGGAGACCUUCUCCCUUACCUCACCUCGCUCAUCAACUCAUCCUUGACCGCUUGCUACGUCCCUUCCGUCUUCAAGAGAGCGAGAGUUGCACCCCUUCUGAAAAAACCUACACUCGAUCCCUCCGAUGUCAACAACUACAGACCAGGAGAGAAACCAAAAGCCUACUGUCGCCUCAUGGGUCUCCCGGUCACAGCCGGCACAGACUCAUCCUGCUGCUGAUGACGACGAUGACCUUGACACCAGCGUCAGUAGUACAGAGCCUGUAGACCCAUUGGAUGAAUGCUUUCAGACUGGAAUAAGCUCAAGCUCAACAUCAUCUGACUUUGAAACAAGCCAGGACAGCCAAAGGAGACUUGCAGUACAAAUCAAAGCAUUGGGAAGUGAAGAAAGUGUACGAGAGGCUUGUCCACCUGGCUGUGGAGUGCAGAAAGGACCAGACGGUUGUCUACAAGGAGCCUGAGUCACAGCUCCCCAAACCCAACAUCCCUUCCAACAUCGCCACAGCACCAAAGCCUGCGAAAACAGCUUCCAUUACGCAGCACAAGAAGAGGUUCACCAGUUGAAGAACAUUCUGGAACCUGCUUGGAACAUUCAACCAACACAACACCUUAUUCAGUUAAACUCUUGUUGUAGUAUAAUAUUGUAUGUUCAUUACUGCAUUGUGCUAUAUAUAUAUAGCUGUUGUACAUAUGUAUAUAAUGGUGUCGUAUGUGAUAUUUUGUACAAGUGUACUGACAAGUGACUAAAUGGAAUUCCAGCUGUAUCAGAAACCAAUAAAGUGUUGGAUCAAUUCAUUGUGAUCCCUUACGAAAAAAGAUUGCAGUCAGAAUGCAGUAUAACUGUGGUACACUGCAGUAUAACUGUAGUUAGA